RNAcentral lists this ribosomal RNA (64 nucleotides) under uncultured bacterium. Its description in RNAcentral is "partial 16S ribosomal RNA". The record is from RNAcentral.
CUCCAGAGUACCUGAGCCAACUCGCAAGAGAGGCAGGGUCCCAAGAGUGACCGGUAACUGGGUG